UGAUAUAUUUAAUUAAUAUUUCGUUAUAUAUCAAUAAUAUAUAUAGUUCAAUAGAUUAUAGCAUAUUUUGAAGUGUAACAUUAGUUAUAUCCAUAAGAGUUAUCAACAUUCAGUCAGAAUGAUUACCAAUGGCUACAUCGAACUUACAACGGCGAGGGGUCUGCUAGUCGACAAGGAUUUCAGGAAGCAGGGCAGUUGUUGAGAGACAUUCAGUAAGAAGUAGUGGAGACGUUGGACAAGGAGCAGAGGAGUCGUUGGAUGAGUAGUGAAAUUGACAUUGGAAGAGGGGUCCGUGAGAAGAGGAAAAUUGGCGUUGGGGAGAAGAAAAUCAAGGGGGGGUCGGAGCAGGAGAUCCGUUUGAUGACCUGUUUGUUGAGGUAAAACCCGAAAACCCUGAAAGCGGGGAGGGUUCUGCAAGAAGAAAAGAGGGAACGUGUAGAAGAAAGGGGGAAAAAGGAAAAGGUCAAGAAAUUAAGUUUUUUUUCUUAAAAAAACCUAUGCCCACCUUAUUUGCAUCCAAAAUACGUAUAAACCUUGCGUUGUCAUGAAUAUGUAUAAAAAUGUGAGGGUUUUUUCACCAUCUAAGUUAGAUUGGAAAAUAUUUAAAAUAUUUGUCUACACAUUGAUAUGUGACCAUAAACUAAAAUAAACGUCAGCAAAAAUCCAACUUAAAAUUUUUUCUUACAACCAUAUAACUUUUUGCCGACGCAUAUAUUUUCUUCGGCAAAAAUGAAGAUGUUUUAAUGCAAUAAAACUAUAUCAACACAUUUUUUUCGUUGUAAAAAAAAGUUAUAAAAUUCUUGUAGUGGAAAUGGGUUACUAACUCCUCGUGUUACUAUUGUUUCUACUUCUGUUAUCUUUACUAUUGGUAAUUUUAUCUAGCAACACUAACUAAAAUGUUCUUGAAAUAUAAAUGUGUAGAAUAAAUUUUUAGAAUUAUAUAAACAAAUAUCAUAAAGAAAAAUCUAGAAAAAUCUUAUAUUUUUAGGUUAAGAAAUUCUAGAGAAUUCUUCUAGAUAAGGAUGAGAUAAAAUAUCUAAAAUUAUGGUAAAUGAUGUAAAUAAAUAUCUCAAACGAAAAAAAACCUAGAAAUAUCCCAAAUUUUAUUUAGGUUAAGGAAUUCUAGAAUUUAUUUAGAUAAAAAUGAGAUUAAAAAAUAUCUAAAAACAAUAGUUAGAAUUCUAGAUAAAUCAUUGACUUGGGUUCAAAAGAUUUCAUGCCUAUAAAUAGAGGUGUGAUCCUCAUUUGUGAACCAAACAAACCAAACAAAGAAAAAAAAAGCAAACAAAGUACGCAAAAAGGAAGAGAGAAAGAGAAUUAAUAAGAAACUUUGAGUAAAAGCGAGUGAGUGUUUAGAGAGUAAAAGAAUGCUCUCUUAAUAGUAUCAAUUUGUUUGUAAAUUUUCUAAAUAAAAGUUUCUUUCUUGCAAGUGUAUUAGUGUAGUUCAAUGUUGUUACGAAGCUGUUAUUUAGUUACUUAUAAUUGCUAUAUCAAUUGACUGUUUAUAUGCCCUCAUACAUCAUUAAUGAAUCAAUAAAUACUUUAUUUACUCUUGCUCAAUAUGGUAUCAGUUGAGAAUUAAAUCCUCCUCAAUCACCACCAUGGCUAAGACAAACCCCACUCUUCAACAUUCUUCAUCCGGUGCUUCUGAAGGCUUAUCUUCAACCACCAACCCCAUUCCAGAAUCUCCUUCCAUCACCGCAAUGUAUGAAAACUCAUACUAUCUUCAUCAUUCCAAUAGUACAAACCUAAUCUUGGUUUCUGAUCUUCUAAUAGAAUCAAAUUACACUUCCUGGAAUCGAGCAUUCACCUUGGCCUCACCGUAAAAAACAAAGUUCGCUUCAUUGAUGGAACCCUACCUUGCCCCACUAACACUCUGUGAAGCUCUUGGAUCAUCUACAACAACAUUGUCACGACAUGGAUUUUGAACUCUAUUUCAAAAGAAGUUGUCGCCACCAUUUGUUUUGUAGAUUCAACUCGAGAAAUAUAUGGUUAGAUCUCCAACAAAGAUACCAAAGAAAGAUUAACACUUCGUCAAAACCUAUAUUAAUCAAACCAAACAAUAUAUAUUAAAUAACGACAAAAUUGUAACACAAAGGUGAUGUAUACAAAAUUAUAAUGUAUUUUAACGAAAAUUAUAAAAAGGCUUACAUAAUGAUCUACAAAGUGCAUUUGAGUUAAUAAAUAAAUAAGAAAAGAUGUCAUCUCGAAAAAUCAUCUCUGACGUCAUCUUUAAACGACUCUUUACCUACAAUCACACCAAGUAAAACACAUUGUUACAAAAUUCAAAAAAUCCAAAAUUUCAACUAAAAAGUUCCAUAAAACCCCAUUCAACUUUCCAAAAUAAGGUAAAGCUAAGCAACAAAGAGUUAAGCGAAAUCAUUCGCCCCUAAACCAACAAGUUAAGCAAACACCCUGCGUUAACCAAAAAGUUCAUAACCCACCCUCAACACAACAAUCAACUCAAUCAUACAACUGGCCUAAGAUAAAAUAACUCAAGAAAAUAAAUCUAGAAAGAUCAAAGUUACAAGUAGCAAAAUCAUGUCUAGCAAAAUCAAAAUUAAAUCAAAGUUUAACCUCCUCAGACCAACUACAAUCAUACAUUAACCAACUUCAAUACAACAUAUAUCACAACCAAAAUCAUUACACAACAAUUUAUCUCAAAUAAUCAUAAUCCAUGGUAAAACGAGAGCAAAGAUUUCUACCAAUCAACUAGAGAAAGAUUCGCAAAAUGGAGAAAGAUGGUCGGUGGCAGUGUCGAACAACGAGAGGACCGCAGUGGUCGGACAUCAGAGGAGUGACGAAAAUGUUCAUGAACCAAUUUUUUCGACUCGACAGACGAAUGUUGGAAUCCUUAUUCAGAUCUAUAAAAUUACAUAUUUGAAGAUGGUUUUCAAAAGGAAACUUCUAAUACCUUUCGUACUGCCUCGAGAAUUCCCUUUUAACGCUGGACAGCUUAAUUAGCUGUCAGGAGUCACCCCAAAACUCUCAACGCCUUAAUUUAAGUCAUCAAGAGUUUCCCCCUUAGUUUUUAAUUUUCGUUUUCUAGUUUCCAUCUCUAUAUGUUGUGUCGGGAGUUGUGAAUUACUCCCAACGUGUUAUGAUCGCCGUCAAGAGAUACUGUCUCUCCCAACUCCUUAUCUUCCAACAACUAUUUUAAACAUGGGAGUUUCUCAAAUUCUUGUAGUUUAUUUCAGCACAAAUGACAGGAAAAGUAUACGAGAGAAAAAAAAAACCUUUUAUCUUCGGAUGAAGAGAGAUACAACUGAACACUCAUAAUUUGGGUAAGUUAAGCACAUACAUUACAAUAGUUUUGCACACAAGCGCACACACUUUACUAGAAGGAAUGAACCCCCAACUUAUUGCAUUGAUAGGAAGAGGUUCAAUGGGAUGGCGCGGAUCUCACAAACGACACUUAAACAUGAAAUAGAGUUUUAAGAUUGUAAGGCUUGAUGGUUUGGAGAUUCCCAUUCCAUAGCAGCUCAGCAUAUAAUUGGUUUGCCUUAUCAGUGAAAUGGGCAGCAUCAAAGAAUAAAUGUUGGCUUGGGUUAUUACACAACUUAUACUCUUCUCCAUUUCUUCCUCCGCAGCUAAAAGAUCCUCUGAAUGGCCCACUUCCACAACAUGCUACCUUUCCUUCCUUCAAACCUUUACCAAAAACACAUCAAAUUCCAGUAACUGAUCCAACUCAAACACUAAACAAUAUAAUCUAAAGAAGAAGAAAUAUAAAUUACUACAUAAGUAUAAGAACAAGUAGAGGUAGUAAAUGUUAAAUGCACAUCUGUAAUUUCCAAAUAGUACGUAUCAUCCUUUUAAGUUCUUUAGUAUGACUUUUUCGAAUAUGCAAAGAUAAUUGUCCUAGAAGAUAUAUAUUCUAGGAAUAUGCAAGGUCCUGUAAUUUUCUAGUGUGUCUAUUAAAUUCGUAGGUCAUUAUUUAGUAUUCUUUAGAGUUGUUUAAUGUCAUCUACCCAUGUAAUCAAGAAACUAAAAACUUCUAAUUGAGCCUAAAUGACAAAAUACUCAAUACAAAAAGUUUCUGCAUAAAUCUCAAUUCUAAACUCUAUAGCCUACCUAAUUUUCAUGUUUUGAAUUGAUUUAAAGCAUGAUAAAAAUGCUUUUUAAAUUCUACUUACCAUAUUUAGCAGGGUUAUUUAAGAGUUCGAUGACAACCGUGAAAGCAUCGAAGUAAGUAUAUACGAAUCCUUCAAGCUCCUUUUCAAGAUGCAGGAGAGUUUUGUAAAGAUGUG
This 4247-nucleotide long non-coding RNA is filed under the name Cucumis sativus (cucumber). Its description in RNAcentral is "long non-coding RNA (CSAT_LNC001183)". Lineage: Eukaryota; Viridiplantae; Streptophyta; Magnoliopsida; Cucurbitales; Cucurbitaceae. The record is from RNAcentral.